GAUGAAGAACGCAGCGAAAUGCGAUAAGUAAUGCGAAUUGCAGAAUUUCCGUGAGUCAUCGAAUCUUUGAACGCACAUUGCGCCCCUUGGUAUUCCGAGGGGCAUGCCUGUUCGAGCGUCAUUUCAACCCUCAAGCACAGCUUGGUCUUGGGCUUCGCCGCUAACCCGGCGGGUCUUAAAAUCAGUGGCGGUGCCGUCGGGCCCUGAGCGCAGUAAUCUCUCUCGCUAUAGGGUCCCGGCGGAUGCUGGCCAGUAACCCCCAAUUUUCUAUGGUUGACCUCGGAUCAGGUAGGGAUACCCGCUGAACUUAAGCAUAUCAAUAAGCGGAGGA
Molecule: unclassified non-coding RNA, 331 nt
Filed under: soil metagenome
Description: partial contains 5.8S ribosomal RNA, internal transcribed spacer 2, and large subunit ribosomal RNA
Rfam family: 5.8S ribosomal RNA (bases 1-121)
Source: RNAcentral